This 77-nucleotide transfer RNA is filed under the name Rhodospirillaceae bacterium. RNAcentral describes it as "tRNA-Lys". It matches the Rfam family "tRNA". Rfam says of the family: Transfer RNA (tRNA) molecules are approximately 80 nucleotides in length. Lineage: Bacteria; Pseudomonadati; Pseudomonadota; Alphaproteobacteria; Rhodospirillales; Rhodospirillaceae. The record is from RNAcentral.
GGGCCCGUAGCUCAGCCCGGUAGAGCAGCUGACUUUUAAUCAGUUGGUCGCAGGUUCGAAUCCUGCCGGGCCCACCA